This 76-nucleotide transfer RNA is filed under the name Candidatus Kinetoplastidibacterium desouzai TCC079E. RNAcentral describes it as "tRNA-Thr (CGT) (tRNA-Thr-CGT-1-1)". It matches the Rfam family "tRNA". From Rfam's summary of the family: Transfer RNA (tRNA) molecules are approximately 80 nucleotides in length. Their secondary structure includes four short double-helical elements and three loops (D, anti-codon, and T loops). Further hydrogen bonds mediate the characteristic L-shaped molecular structure. tRNAs have two regions of fundamental functional importance: the anti-codon, which is responsible for specific mRNA codon recognition, and the 3' end, to which the tRNAs corresponding amino acid is attached (by aminoacyl-tRNA synthetases). tRNAs cope with the degeneracy of the genetic code in two manners: having more than one tRNA (with a specific anti-codon) for a particular amino acid; and 'wobble' base-pairing, i.e. permitting non-standard base-pairing at the 3rd anti-codon position. Lineage: Bacteria; Pseudomonadati; Pseudomonadota; Betaproteobacteria. The record is from RNAcentral.
GCCGGUAUAGCUCAGAAGGUAGAGCAGCGCAUUCGUAAUGCGAAGGUCGGUGGUUCGAUUCCUCUUGCCGGCACCA